GAGAUAAACACAUGUAGUACCUUCAGUUUCAGGCAAUGUCAUGAACCUAAGACUACUCAGAUAGUAAGGUAUUGAAGGAGGAAAUAUAAGAGAUAUCAACCCAAAGUCCAAACUGCUAAUAAAGAAAACGAAGGGUCAACGAGGAGUGACCCAUCUCAAACAACAUCGAAGUUUAUCAAGAACUAUUUCAAACAGAGUAGAGAGUACGAUGCUAAUUCAUUUCAGAAUAACCUCAGAAUCGAAGUAUAUAUACGGCUCUUAAAUCGCGAAACCAGGAAUCAGUUUCAUGUCAUUGGUAUCAAAUUCCUCUGCAUUAAUCCAAAAGAACAAAUUGUCAGAAAAACUAAGCGUUUUGACAGUUAAAGACAAGGUUUUUUUUUAAUUAAUACAUUAAGAUACAAGAUAUAAACCUCGACAAGCUUUUCAAGCGAAUUCCGAGAAAUUUUUUUACCUUCGAAAAUCAAAUAGCUCAUGGUUCUCCCUAAGACCGAUCGCUAGCUUGUCUACACUUGAAGUCAUCCUCGCGAAACUGCU
This 534-nucleotide long non-coding RNA is filed under the name Eutrema salsugineum. Its description in RNAcentral is "long non-coding RNA (ESAL_LNC000606)". Lineage: Eukaryota; Viridiplantae; Streptophyta; Magnoliopsida; Brassicales; Brassicaceae. The record is from RNAcentral.